Molecule: long non-coding RNA, 4002 nt
Filed under: Homo sapiens (human)
Lineage: Eukaryota; Metazoa; Chordata; Mammalia; Primates; Hominidae
Description: HSALNT0373726
Source: RNAcentral
UUAAACUUUUUUUUUUUACUUAUUCCCCUAUUCCAUACAAUUAUAUUAUAAUAGAAAUAAAAGAUCUUUGCCUUUAAAGUUAGAGUAGAAGCAGGACCUGGCAUAGGCUUCUACCAAAGGCUUUCUUUUUUUUGCAAUCUGAAUUUUUCCCUUUCUCUAUGCAUGAUCUUCUGAGAUAGUCUACACAGAUGUCUUAUGUGGCCUUAUACCUUAGACAAAUGAAAAAUUCUUCCUUUUGGGAAGGCAAAUUUGCUUCUAUAACUUUUUCUCCUCUGCUUUUGUGAGUAUGAGAGAGUUUCUCUACUACAAGACUGUAGGAUAAAAGUUGGUAUAACAAAAAUAAAGAUUGAAAAGAUAAAAUGACAACCAAAAAACAAUGACAAAAUUGGAAUUCAGGAAUAAUCUUCACUUUGGCAAUAUGGCUAAAUAUAACUUGGGUUAGGGAUCUCUUGGGUUAGGAAUCUUUUUGUGUGAUAUAUUAUUUUGAAUUUAUAGAGCAUUGGUUUUUAACAAGUUUUUAUCAUUUUUAACAGGUUUUUAUCAUUUAAAAGGUGACUAGGGCAAUGGGAUUACCUCUGAUAUCAGAGAGUUGGCAAUCAUGUAACCCUGAAAGUCAUGGCACAAUAUGGCAGAACAAGCACGUCUGGGGCCUGGGAGUCCUGAGCUAAGGCAAAGGCUUUUUCUUGGCCUCCACUCAGCAAUAUGCAAAAAGCUGAAGCUUUUAAAGUGGGAGAAGAAACAGAAGGAACAGAGGAGGUAAUUGAGAAUUAGUCACAUUUGUUAUUUUUAGCACUGCCUGAUUUUGUCUGGAAAUGGAAGUGAAACUAUAAAAACAGGUAAAGAAAAACAAUUUAAAGUCUUUAAAAAUAUUUUAAAAAUCAGAAUUCUUGGUUCAGUUAACUACAAAAUACUCGGAGACUUGGAAAAAGAUUGUUUUAAGAUACAAAUUAAGUGACAUUUUUGGAGUUGAUUAUUCUGGUUCAUUUAGAUAACUAAAAUUGGGCUGACUCACUGAAAAGAGCUACUUGCCACACAUCCUCAAUUAAGUGCAUUGUUAUUAAGAAGAGAGUUGGGGACACUCAUUUCAUUCAUUUUACUACCAAUGCUUGAUUUUGAGGAUGAUACUUUUGAAGCUUUGGGAUACUUAUUUUUCCCCUUUAACCCUGAAAUUUUACCCAUUAACACAAACUGUGUUUUUCAGGAUAAGCGCAUUUAAAAAUGUAUUCAGUAGGCUUUUAAAGUUUAGGGUUUUUUUUUUUUUUUUUUUAAAGAGGGAGCUUUAUAUUCACAGAUAUCCUCAAAAUGAAAAGUAGAGCUUCUAAAGCUAUUUCUUUGUAAGGAUUUAAAUUCAUUCACAGGCUGUUAAUUUGAAGGGUAUUUGAAGUUUAAAUUAUAAUGCAUCAGUCAUCCUUGAAAACCCAGGCAAUCAAUAUACACAAAUACAGAAUUCUGUAAACAUUAUUUUUGUCCACAGUUCAUUUAUACAUGCUUAUAGAAAUUACUCAUGCUAAACUGCAAUUUAUCAAAUCGCUGACAACAAAACAAAUCACCCUGUCAUAUUAUACUUAAAAUGUCAAUGUUUAAUACUAACUUCUUUCUACAUAAAGAUAUGACAUUUGAUUGCAAGUACUUAGUGAUACCAGGCAUAGUGAGAAGGAAAAGUGUUUCAUCUUAAGAAUCACUAUGCCAGUUAACAAAUAUACACAUAAUAAAUUACUAUUUCCUACAUUAAAAUGAUCUUCCAACAUGCUGAGAAAUUUAACACAUCUACCAAGUGGAAGUUGUUCAUAUAUCACCAUAGAGAUCAGAAUCAUCGCCUUUAGGUACACAUACUUAAAAUAAUCGCAAAGCCGUAUGCUCCCAUUAUAGAUCUCUUUCGCUUUUUACACAAAUGCAUUAACCAUGGGGCAAUCCUCUAUCAUUGAAAAUAGGUAGGAAGCACUUCUGAAUAAAUUACUUAAGAAUAAUGUGUAUUACACAUAGGCAUUCAUAGGAAUUUACAAAUGAUUUGGCAAUGUAUUUCAGGGAACUAAAUGCUAAAAUUUUGUCCAUUCUGUUAAAUUUUUAUUUUAAGAUUAGUUUUGUUUCUAUUUUCCAUUAUCUUUUUAUCAUAAAGUUAUUCAGAUCCUUCAGAGCACAGAGAAAAUUUUCAUAAUUGAAAUGGAAAAGUUAUUCCUUUGGAUGCAAAACAUGGAAAAUAAUCUGAUUACAUUAAUAACUUAAAAUGUUUAAUAACUGAUAAUUGUAAAAAGGUAAUGUUUAUAAUUAAUGCGAUAUUCUUGGGGGUUAUAAAUGUCUUAGGAAUAAAAUUUGGAGCAGGUAGAGGUGUAUUUUGCAAAUGAAUCACAAUGGAGCAGAGAAUCGAUUUUAAAUUUAAAGAGCCUUCAUUUGCCUUUUAAAAUAUCAACAGAGAGUCAACUGCUUUACCUUAUUCUUUCAUUUGUAUUCCUACCUAGUUCCACAGCCUCAGCUUUUUCUAGCACUUCAAUGUGAGACUCCCUCAUAUUCCCAAAUGAGUAUAGAAGGAUAGGGCAUAUUUAGAGAGGCAUGGAGUUUUCAUGAAGUAGGAGCUGUUUAUAACUUUCUUCCUAAAAAUAAAAAGUGGGUUCUCACUCAUGAAUAUUAGACUCCCUUUUAUAGAAAAAGUUUUGCAAACUUAUUCAGGACAGAUGUUCGGACAGAUACCAGUUUGCCUCUGAAGAAAAUAGGGCAGUUUAAAGUGGGUAUGUUCUUCAAAAUUGCAAGACAAUCACGAUCCUCUUAUUUGCAAUUCUUCCUAACCCCAAUUCCCAUAACUCCUGAACCUACAAAUGUUUUCAUUAUUUCUUUGACCUCAAUCAUUUCUUUCUCUUUGAUUUUUACAUCCCCUCUGAACUGUCAUUGGAUAGUUGAUUACCGUUUAUUUUUACUUUGAAAUUUUAAAUUUUCCUCAGUGCUUCAACCAUUUGAGUGCAAACAUCCACUUUUCAUUUGAAAAAUCACAGGACUUAUUGCUCUUUGAAGAAUCACUAAGUCAUAAAAAAAGCUUCAUUUCUAGGAUAUAUGUAAAAUUAUGACAAUAGCUGACAUGGUAAUAAAAAGACCCUGUGGCAUCUUCUGGUUUCUUCUUACUUUUCUCUUUCUUAUGAUUGAUUCUAGGAAGAAACAUUGUGCAUUGAACUUCAAAGCUGAGAUAUGAGACUCUAGCUUACUUCUAAGAAAUGCUUGAUUUCAUACAAAACAGUAGUUAUUUCUUUUCCUGGAAUCUUCGAGAUUCUCUCCUCAUUCAGGCUUGGUAUACAAUCACUUGUUCAGUGAGCCUUCUUCAACCCCAAUCCAAUCAACUCCCAGGCCCUGUCUUUCAUUUUGUCCUUAUCGCUAUCAUUACCUUUUAUUACUCACUAUUUGUUAAUUUGUUUCUUUACCUUUUUUGUCCAUUGGAACACAAGAUUUAUAACCAGAGGCAUCAUUUCUUUCUUGUUCGUUACUGCAAAGAACAAAACCCGCACAAAGAAGACUCUCAGGAAAUGCUGGCUGAAUGACAGAAUGAACAUUGAUAAAUGAAGACUUCUUCAAAUAACUGAUGCUAGACAUCUCUAAAUAUAUCAGAAAUAACAUGUGACCAUGACAUCAUUCAUCAUUUUUCCAUCAAAACAUUUGAAAAUAACUUGGAUUCAUUUAUUAGAGCUUUAUUUUCCCACAUCUUGCAGUACCCUAGAGUUCUACAGUAAUUAACCUUAUGCUGAAUGGCAGAGGACAUGCACUAAGCUCCUAUUUAAAAUCUAUUCAUGAUGCAUUUUAAAUAUUCAGUAGAGACUUCUUAAACAUGCAGCCAUAGUCUAUUGAAAAUGGAUUUCCUAAAGCCAGGAGAUUGGAUAUUAAUAUCUGGCAUUCGUAUAAAGACAGGUUUUUGUUAACCUAUUAUAAAAAGGACUGAUGAUGUGAUUAUAUACUGUUUACUAGCUCACUUAUAUUUCUGUGCUAAUAAUUACUGUAACCCAUUUGUUUAGUUUUUUUAUUUUA